GGGUAACCUGCCUUAUGGAGGGGGAUAACAGAGAGAAAUCACUGCUAAUACCGCAUAAGCACACAUUGCCGCAUGGCAGAGUGUGAAAAGAUUUAUCGCCAUAAGAUGGACCCGCGUCUGAUUAGCCAGUUGGCAGGGUAAAAGCCUACCAAAGCAACGAUCAGUAGCCGAUCUGAGAGGAUGACCGGCCACAUUGGGACUGAGACACGGCCCAAACUCCUACGGGAGGCAGCAGUGGGGAAUAUUGCACAAUGGGGGAAACCCUGAUGCAGCGACGCCGCGUGAGUGAAGAAGUAUUUCGGUAUGUAAAGCUCUAUCAGCAGGGAAGAUAAUGACAGUACCUGACUAAGAAGCCCCGGCUAACUACGUGCCAGCAGCCGCGGUAAUACGUAGGGGGCAAGCGUUAUCCGGAUUUACUGGGUGUAAAGGGAGCGUAGACGGAGUGGCAAGUCUGAAGUGAAAACCCUGGGCUUAACCUGGGGACUGCUUUGGAAACUGUUAAUCUAGAGUGUUGGAGAGGUAAGUGGAAUUCCUGGUGUAGCGGUGAAAUGCGUAGAUAUCAGGAAGAACACCGGAGGCGAAGGCGGCUUACUGGACAAUAACUGA
RNAcentral lists this ribosomal RNA (606 nucleotides) under uncultured Lachnospiraceae bacterium. Its description in RNAcentral is "bacterial SSU rRNA". It matches the Rfam family "Bacterial small subunit ribosomal RNA", at positions 119 to 743 of the family's 1533-position model. The record is from RNAcentral. Lineage: Bacteria; Bacillati; Bacillota; Clostridia; Lachnospirales; Lachnospiraceae.